GACGAACGCUGGCGGCGCGCCUAACACAUGCAAGUCGAACGGAGCUGAGAGAAGCUUGCUUUUCUUAGCUUAGUGGCGAACGGGUGAGUAACGCGUGAGUAACCUGCCCUGGAGUGGGGGACAACAGUUGGAAACGACUGCUAAUACCGCAUAAGCCCACGAUCCGGCAUCGGAUUGAGGGAAAAGGAUUUAUUCGCUUCAGGAUGGACUCGCGUCCAAUUAGCUAGUUGGUGAGGUAACGGCCCACCAAGGCGACGAUUGGUAGCCGGACUGAGAGGUUGAGCGGCCACAUUGGGACUGGGACACGGCCCAGACUCCUACGGGAGGCAGCAGUGGGGGAUAUUGCACCAUGGGGGGAACCCUGAUGCAGCGACGCCGCGUGGAGGAAGAAGGUUUUCGGAUUGUAAACUCCUGUCGUUAGGGACGAUAAUGACGGUACCUAACAAGAAAGCACCGGCUAACUACGUG
This 468-nucleotide ribosomal RNA is filed under the name uncultured bacterium. RNAcentral's name for it is "partial 16S ribosomal RNA". It matches the Rfam family "Bacterial small subunit ribosomal RNA", at positions 28 to 507 of the family's 1533-position model. The record is from RNAcentral.